This is a long non-coding RNA of Oppia nitens, 544 nucleotides long. RefSeq lists it as uncharacterized. The record is from RefSeq and is a predicted model, not a curated record. The transcript is spliced from 3 exons. NCBI's taxonomy places the organism in Eukaryota, Metazoa, Arthropoda, Arachnida, Sarcoptiformes, Oppiidae.
UGUAUGUAUCGGCGCGCGCGGCUAUCGGUGACGACACCAUCAUCACCAUCAGCACCGAUACCAUCCUAUAGGUGUAGAUGUAUGCGGUACUGAUGAUGACGACAACGAUGUCGGUACUGAAAAAAUCUGGUGUUUUUUUUUCGGGUACUCAUCAUAAUUGCCACAAAACAGUGGGUUUUUAUGAGGAUUUUAUUUUUAUUAGGCGCAGAAUCGACAAUGACUAUAUAUCGUACAUAACAACGACUAAACAGCAACUAAUACUGCAAUAUGUGUUUUGCAAUGCAUUAUCAAUAGAAGAGCGCACCGGUAGGUCGGCUCUGGUAAUCGACUAACUAACUGACUGACUGACUGACUGACUGACGGAUAGAGUUAAAUGGCAAAGACGUAGUUGUGUUUUAGCUCAUAGAGAUUAAGAGUCGUUUUUUAUUAUUAUUUAAUCGCCAAUUCAUUAGACGCUAUGAGAAAUAUUUUUUUGCUAACAAAAAAAAAUCUCAUAUCUAUUUCAAUGAAAGUUUUUACAUAUGUUUUAUAUAAUAAUAAUAAU